UGGGAUUUCGUGAAGGUCAGCUCUUUCAUAUUGUUUCAAUUUUUUAAUAACAUUCUGCAAUGCGUUCAAUCCAUAAGAUUAUGUACUGCACGUUAAGUCUAAUUUGGCAUCAAAAUCUUAUUAAUUCAUACCUGAAAUAAAUUGCUAUUCUUUUCAUUUACCAAGCCUCAUGGUAUGUUUACUCGUGUGAGGACAAUCUCUUGGUAUGCUAUUUCUGAUACAUAUCCUUCCAUGUGUAUAGAAAAUACCCAUCUUCCGUUUCACUGAGAGGGGAUGAUACCGAUGGUUCACUGCUAUAUUUGAUGUGAAAGUGUAAAUUGUGUGUCUGAUUAGGCUUUCUCUUUGGUUGCUAUUGGAAUAUAUAGGAGGUUGCCUGCUUUCCUUUUAUGCCAUAGUUCACACCACAUUUUUGUUUUUAGGCUUAUGUAUGAGUUGGUUUCAAGCUAUGCACAUGCUGCUCCAAUGUAUAUUUACAGAAACUCCUCAAAGUUAGAUUGGAGGAAUGCCCAUUUCUUCACCACUUCGGGGGUAAAAGUAGUAUGUGGAGCAAGUUAUUGCUUCCCUUCUCAUUUUUUGCUGUCAAGAAUCAAGUAUUAUACUUAAUGUUUUUUUAUUUUAUAGCCUCAUUUGUGAUCUUUUUCAUUUUAUUCCUUGUUAAUAUAUUCAAGGGUCUCAUUGCUACUUUGUCUCGAUAAUUUUAUAUCUACUUCAUGUCAUCACAAAUACAUGUUUUUAAUAGGAUCCGUCUUUUCUUUGUUCUAUUUUGGUCUUACCUUAAGGCCAUACCACUGCAGGAAACUUGGCUUACUUGGGAGUAUGAUCCAUGCUUUAUGAUGUUGUGAGUGACUUCUCGUGUUUAGUGCUUGCGGCGUAGAUCAGUAGAUGGAGAAGAGCCGACUUAACUGGAGUCCACACAGCACAAACGAACUAGGUAGCAAUAUCGAGCUACAUGUGCUCACUGAUCUCAUUUGUUGUGCAUACAAUCCCCGUUUUAAAUAUUUUGUUUUGUACCUGUGUUGCAUCUGAUGUUAUGCGUUUGCAAACUUGACAAGUGUGAACUACAGUUCUCUGUAGAAUUUGGACUUCCAGUACUCCUCUCAUAUAACCUGCAUUUUUGCGUAUGUUUAAUCUCUUAUGGGCUGAUUUUUACAAACAUCCAAAAACUGGGUGGGAUAAAGAUUUGCUGCUUGAGAUCAAUCUUUGAAAUAGACGAUGUGUGAGAAUGAGUAGAGAGUUAAACUGACACUAUGUGUGUUUGAGAAAAUUGAGAACCUCUACUUGUCAAUUGCUAAAUAAAUAUCUAAAACACUUAAAGAGUUUUGUACAUAUUUCCCGUAGGAGCUUGAAUAGAGAAGAUAACGCUUUGGUUUUUGUUAGCGAUAUGAAACUUCACUGCUUAUCUCUAUAUGAGUUGCCAUCACUUAUAAUGAGGAUGCAUUUUGGUUUGACUUGGGUUUAUUUAUUUGCAUAUCACUUUUCCUACUGCGAUGUGACUGAACGGUUCAGAAUUUAAUAACAUUUCAAUUUAAUGCCUUUCAGAGUGUUUACAUUUCUUUCAAGUGCAAGAAGGCAGUUACACUACUGAAAUUAUAUGCGGAUGAAAUGCUUGGGACUACAAGAUGCUACAAGGAAACUAAAUGCAAAAGAAAACUAUGGAGGAAGUAUUACAUGCAAUACUAAAUCUGGAGGAAGAAUAAAAAUCAAGGUAAUGACUAUAUUACAUCCAUGGUGGCCUGAAAGAGACAAAAUCAGGGGGGAUGGUGAAAGUAGAGAGCUUUCUUAUAUUGUCUCCAAGCAAGCUGAGGAAUACUAUUAAGUUUCUCAAAAAAAGGAGAUGAAAUAAGAACCAAAAUAAAAACAAAGGGAAUGACAAUGACCUGAAAGAGGAACUUUGAAGGUAAACCGUGAUGGAGUUUUACUUGCUGAAAAUACUAAUGAUGGUUGUGGAGCCACAAUUAGUGAUGAUGAAGAAGAUGUAGUCGGUUGUGGGAUGAGGAAAACUGCGAAUAUCCUGAACAUACAAACAAAACAUGUAAACUGGGAGUACUGCCAGUUUAGGAGCAAAGUAACCAUUACUAGAGUAAUGAAUCUGAGAAAUUAGUUGUUGAACUUGAGAACUGUUGUAAUUCUUGACAAUGAGAUGGUCUUAUUUUUUGUCCCAGUAAAGGUUGGAGGUAGAAUCAACUUCAAGCUCGAGUACCCAAUGGUAGAGAAAUAGAAAGGAGGCACAAGAUGGAAGUAUGAACUCUCGCAGUAACAUUUUUAAUUUUCCAAGUUAUGUUGAUGAUGUUAAGGUUAAUGGACAACUCUACAGGAACUUAGUAGAACACAAGCUUUUGUUGUUGAGUUCAAUAUAAGGUGUCCUGUGUAUUUUUUAAGGUGUCAUGUUUCUCAAGAGAAUACAUCUGCACGUAAGGAACCAGCUAAUAAAUGAACUAGCUCACAAGCAGUCUUUGCUUUUGCUUCAUUGAUUUCAUUGUAGCAUAGUUCUAUUCAUAUUUCUGAUACUUAUUUUUUCUGUAUCACUUACAAUUUUCGUUUAGCAAAGUGAUGUCCCUCUUGAAUAAUCAUAUGCUGCUGUCAGUUCAAACAUUGCACUUAGCAAAUUUAAUCUUUUAUGGGAUUGGAUGUGAUUUUCUCUUCCCUUAUACUAAUUCUAACAUUAAUGGGAUAUUGCGUACAAUGUUCUAAUGCUAAGCUGUUGUAAGUACUCGGUUAUCAAAAAAACUUGUAAGUACUCACUGUGGUUUCAGCAUGAUGCUUGGUAUAUGGAGUUUAUAGUAUUAAUCUGAUGCAUAAGCCUUUCCAAAUUAAUUCAACAUGUCUGCUCUGGUUUUACUUUCUUUUCUUCUCUCAUCCUUAAGUUUCUUGCUUGUGUUACUAUGAAGGAUGUGCAAGAGAGUUGAUGCCUGCCGAGUUCCAACUCUGAAGGAUGUGCAUCUCAUUUUACUUAAAGCAAGCACUCCAAGUAGCAAAUCCCGAAUGGAAUGAUGUUUCUUUUUCCUCUGGCAUCGUCGAUUACCAGCUUGUGUUCCAAAAAGCACAGAGAGGCGACUACCUUUGAAAUCCACUAAAGCAACUUAUUUAGUUUUUUUAACGCUCAAGAUAAUGAUAAUGCAUUUAUCUACAUGAACUUGUCUGAUUAUUUUGCUUUUAUUUUAUUGCACUCAUGGAAUGCGAAAGAACUAAAUCAACCAAUUUGCAGGGUCAAUAUUCGUUGUUUCACGAUUUUUCAUUCUGCUAUGCGAAAACUCCAAAAUAUUGACUUACUAUUUUCAUUCAGGAUGGUGACCAGAUAAGGAAGCAAUUUUUGGUGCACCUACUCAACUACAUCAACAAUGAAGCUGCACACAACAUUCCGGAUACUUACGUGAAUUCAUUAGCCUUAUUAGGAAAUACUGGGAUAAUUGUUUUGGCUCUAUGCACAUGACGAGUCGAUGAUACAUUAAGGUUGUGUUUGGCUGCUCAGUUUUUUUUAAGUAUUUGGAGAAUACUAUGGUUUUCUCAUAAACCACAGAUUUCAAAACUUUGAGCUGUUUGGCUUCAACAAAUAGUUUUAUAAACCAUAGUAUCUCUAAUACCAUGGUUUUUUGGUAGUAUUUAAUAAAGAGAUCUUCACCACUUUUUUACAAACUGAAAAAACCGUGGUUUUUAAAAACUGAAGAAUUAAUUGUACUGAGGUUCUCGGUUACUACUGUUUUGAGAAAACUAUGUUGCCAAACUAGGCCUGUAGUGUUUUCUUGAUUUGUAAUAGUACUUUUGAGUGUAAUCAAAAUAUCUUUAUGUGCAUGUUAAUUCUGACAUAUGUUUGUCAUAUUAAUUGAGAUAUGCAUUUGCACAUGCACGCUUACUAGUUCCUUGCAAGAGAGAGCACAGAACACAAGAACGAAGAGAUUUGCGCCGCGUGAACUUCUCACGGCUUUUCUUCUGCUUCUAUUAUUCAUUCAAG
This 3949-nucleotide long non-coding RNA is filed under the name Triticum aestivum (bread wheat). RNAcentral's name for it is "long non-coding RNA (TAES_LNC021107)". The record is from RNAcentral. Lineage: Eukaryota; Viridiplantae; Streptophyta; Magnoliopsida; Poales; Poaceae.